RNAcentral lists this long non-coding RNA (311 nucleotides) under Brachypodium distachyon (stiff brome). Its description in RNAcentral is "long non-coding RNA (BDIS_LNC002859)". Lineage: Eukaryota; Viridiplantae; Streptophyta; Magnoliopsida; Poales; Poaceae. The record is from RNAcentral.
CCAGUGAUGUAUAGUUUCAGCCUGCUGUCUUUGUCAGAACUCAAAAAUCACUACCAUAAAUUGUACUCCCUCUGAUCCAUAAUAAGUGUCAGGGAUUUAGUACAAAGUUGUACUAACUUUGUACGAAAUGCCUGACACUUAUUACAAAUCAUGGAUAAUGCAAGAUUGUGGAAGAACAAGAUUCUUCCCUUGCUCGAGAACCGGUGGCGGCGAUGUACAAUAAUAAUAUGAAAACUAUGUCGAAUUCUUCAUAUUAUCAGUGCUCGAUGUAAACACAUCCAUGAAUUCCAAAGUGCCUGGGGAGAAAUGUG